This 532-nucleotide ribosomal RNA is filed under the name uncultured bacterium. Its description in RNAcentral is "bacterial SSU rRNA". It matches the Rfam family "Bacterial small subunit ribosomal RNA", at positions 976 to 1509 of the family's 1533-position model. The record is from RNAcentral.
UGGCCUUGACAUACUAAGAACUUUCCAGAGAUGGAUUGGUGCCUUUCGGGAACUUAGAUACAGGUGCUGCAUGGCUGUCGUCAGCUCGUGUCGUGAGAUGUUGGGUUAAGUCCGCAACGAGCGCAACCCUUUCCUAUUUGCCAGCGGGUAAUGCCGGGAACUUUAAGGAUACUGCCAGUGACAAACUGGAGGAAGGCGGGGACGACGUCAAGUCAUCAUGGCCCUUACGGCCAGGGCUACACACGUGCUACAAUGGUCGGUACAAAGGGUUGCUACCUCGCGAGAGGAUGCUAAUCUCAAAAAGCCGAUCGUAGUCCGGAUCGCAGUCUGCAACUCGACUGCGUGAAGUCGGAAUCGCUAGUAAUCGCGGAUCAGAAUGCCGCGGUGAAUACGUUCCCGGGCCUUGUACACACCGCCCGUCACACCAUGGGAGUUUGUUGCACCAGAAGUAGGUAGUCUAACCGCAAGGAGGACGCUUACCACGGUGUGGCCGAUGACUGGGGUGAAGUCGUAACAAGGUAAGCGUAGAUGA